AACGUAGGGCGCAAGCGUUGCGCGGAAUUAUUGGGCGUAAAGGGCGUGUAGGCGGCCUUUUAAGUCCAGCGUGAAAUCCUCCGGCUUAACCGGAGAAGGGCGCUGGAUACUGGAAGGCUCGAGUUCGGGAGAGGGAGGUAGAAUUCCCGGUGUAGCGGUGAAAUGCGUAGAUAUCGGGAGGAAUACCCGUGGCGUAAGCGGCCUCCUGGCCCGACACUGACGCUGAAACGCAAAAGCGUGGGGAG
Molecule: ribosomal RNA, 245 nt
Filed under: uncultured bacterium
Lineage: Bacteria
Description: partial 16S ribosomal RNA
Rfam family: Bacterial small subunit ribosomal RNA
Source: RNAcentral